GAUUACUGGCAUGGGACACUGCACCUGGCGAGAAAAAUAUUUAUUUUGACUAACGGUUCGAAUUUUCAAUCUGCUCACUUAGCACAUUGUUUCUGGGUGCCUGGGGAGGGAGAAUAUCAUAGUGGGGAGUAUAUGGUGGAAUAAAGCUGCUCACCUUGUGGUAGGCAGCUCAGGAUAUACCCUUCAAGGACAUACCCACAGUGACCUACUCCCAUCAGAUAGGUCCCCCCUCUCCAAGUUUCCACCACUUCCCAGUAGUACCACCAGCUGGGAUCACACUUUCAACAUGUGAGUCUUCAGGGGACGCUUCAGAUCCAAAGUAAUAGGUCCCUGGAGAUGGCAAGAGGCCCCUGGGUCCUUCCCCCAUACCUUGCUCUGUGUACCUCAUUUGGCUGUUCAUCUGUCACAACUAGUAAAUGCAAAAAGUGUUUCUUUGAGUUCUGUGAAUUAUCCUGGCAAAUUGCCAAGGGGGCGGGGUGUUGAGAACUUUCAUUUAUAGAUAAGUCUGUUAGAAGCACUAGGACUUUACUGGCAUCUGAGGUGACAGACAGUCUUGUGGAACUGAGCCCUUAAUCUGUAGGAUCUGACACUUUGGUAAAAUAAUGUCAGAAUUGAAUUGAGUAAUAGGGUACCCAUUGGGUGCCUGCUGAAUUGCUUAGAGUGUGGGGAAGAAAAUCUCAUAUCUGGUCACAGAAGUUAUGUAUUGUUUGAGGAGAGCAGGAAACAGGGAGUGUGGUGUUCUUCAGAAUUGGUGUCAGAAAUGCAACAGGGAAAAAGUCUGCUUUUCCUGAAAGCGUUGACUCCUGGCUUGAGCUUCCUUUGCUACCUUAAACUUUGGGUCAGAUUCCUGCUCAGCACUGCACAUAGACAUAUAUUAAUCAUUUAAGGAGUGUCUAAAAACUGGUAAUACUAUGUAGAGAGCCCUAAAUUUACUUCACCUCUGCAAGGCUGAAGACACCAAGAUAAGAGUAAUUAAGAUAUUUUCAAAAUUGCAGGAACAGCAAUUCUUGCAGUAAGAUCACCCUAUGAUAGAAACAGCCCUCUAAGUGGGAACAGUUACCCCAUGAUGGGAAUUGACGCCAUGCACCAAGGGGGGGCAGUCAUCUCAUGAUGGGACAUGAACUGCCCCCUCACACAACACCCGUUUCCCUGGCGCCAGCAGAACCAUUGCAGAACCACCUUCGAGAAGGCCUUCCUGUCACCAAGAGAACCAAGGAAGAUGGAGACAACUAAAGGUGCAUCUCUUUAAAUAACCCAACAGGAGACAGAAAUACCUAGGUGAAAUCUGGGAUGAUUGUGCACCCCAUAGUACUCAGCCACCUUGCACAGUAGGGGAUAAGAUCCUGAUUGGGACCACUCUGGGUGUGCCUGUUCACCAGCUACCUGAUUUUGCAAGACCUUCAUUAAAGUCUGGUUUCUACUGCA
This is a long non-coding RNA of Marmota flaviventris (yellow-bellied marmot), 1425 nucleotides long. RefSeq lists it as uncharacterized. NCBI's taxonomy places the organism in Eukaryota, Metazoa, Chordata, Mammalia, Rodentia, Sciuridae. The record is from RefSeq and is a predicted model, not a curated record.